RNAcentral lists this signal recognition particle RNA (276 nucleotides) under Cercocebus atys (sooty mangabey). RNAcentral's name for it is "Metazoan signal recognition particle RNA (ENSCATG00000002934.1)". It matches the Rfam family "Metazoan signal recognition particle RNA". Rfam says of the family: The signal recognition particle (SRP) is a universally conserved ribonucleoprotein. It is involved in the co-translational targeting of proteins to membranes. Lineage: Eukaryota; Metazoa; Chordata; Mammalia; Primates; Cercopithecidae. The record is from RNAcentral.
GCCUGUAGUCCCAGCUCCUAAAGAGGCUGAGACAAGAGGGUUGCAAGAUGCCAGGAGUUCUAGGCUGCAGUGUGCUAUUCCAAUCUGGUGUCCACACUAAGUUCAGCAUCAAUAUGGUGACCUUCCAGGAGCAGAGGACCAGCAAGUUGCCUAAGGAGGGGUGAAUUGGCCUAGGGUAGAAACAGAGCAGGUCAAAACUCCCAUGCUUGAAGUGGGAUCACUCCUAUGAAUGGCCACUGCAUUCCAGCCUGGACAAUAUAGCAAGACCUCAUCUCU